RNAcentral lists this ribosomal RNA (305 nucleotides) under uncultured bacterium. RNAcentral describes it as "bacterial SSU rRNA". It matches the Rfam family "Bacterial small subunit ribosomal RNA", at positions 333 to 653 of the family's 1533-position model. The record is from RNAcentral.
UCUCGCCUACGGGAGGCAGCAGUGGGGAAUAUUGGGCAAUGGGCGCAAGCCUGACCCAGCAACGCCGCGUGAAGGAAGAAGGCUUUCGGGUUGUAAACUUCUUUUAAGAGGGAAGAGCAGAAGACGGUACCUCUUGAAUAAGCCACGGCUAACUACGUGCCAGCAGCCGCGGUAAUACGUAGGUGGCAAGCGUUGUCCGGAUUUACUGGGUGUAAAGGGAGUGUAGGCGGGAAAGCAAGUCAGAAGUGAAAACUAUGGGCUUAACCCAUAGCCUGCUUUUGAAACUGUUUUUCUUGAGUGAAGUG